RNAcentral lists this ribosomal RNA (551 nucleotides) under Penicillium polonicum. RNAcentral's name for it is "eukaryotic LSU rRNA". The stretch from base 178 to 330 matches the Rfam family "5.8S ribosomal RNA". The record is from RNAcentral. Lineage: Eukaryota; Fungi; Ascomycota; Eurotiomycetes; Eurotiales; Aspergillaceae.
GGCCAUCGGAGUGAGGCUUUGGGUCACCUCCCACCCGUGUUUAUUUUACCUUGUUGCUUCGGCGGGCCCGCCUUUACUGGCCGCCGGGGGGCUCACGCCCCCGGGCCCGCGCCCGCCGAAGACACCCCCGAACUCUGUCUGAAGAUUGAAGUCUGAGUGAAAAUAUAAAUUAUUUAAAACUUUCAACAACGGAUCUCUUGGUUCCGGCAUCGAUGAAGAACGCAGCGAAAUGCGAUACGUAAUGUGAAUUGCAAAUUCAGUGAAUCAUCGAGUCUUUGAACGCACAUUGCGCCCCCUGGUAUUCCGGGGGGCAUGCCUGUCCGAGCGUCAUUGCUGCCCUCAAGCCCGGCUUGUGUGUUGGGCCCCGUCCUCCGAUUCCGGGGGACGGGCCCGAAAGGCAGCGGCGGCACCGCGUCCGGUCCUCGAGCGUAUGGGGCUUUGUCACCCGCUCUGUAGGCCCGGCCGGCGCUUGCCGAUCAACCCAAAUUUUUAUCCAGGUUGACCUCGGAUCAGGUAGGGAUACCCGCUGAACUUAAGCAUAUCAAUAAGCG